CAUAGCCAUAUGCAAAUGCGUCUUUCAGAAGCAAGGCAAUUUCAGACAGCCCUCAAGAUGACGAAGGCCGAGCUGGCAAGCUGGCGUGGGAGAAGGGGCCAGCCCAGACUCAGCUGUGGGAGGCGGAGCCCGCGCCCGCGGGGCCCUGGCAGGGAACCAGGAGCAGCGCCGCUCGCUCGCCAGGGGGUGAAGCAAGAAAGCCCAGAAGGCUCCAGUGCGAACGAUUCUGGUUUCCGAGGCCGUUUGGAGCGAGCUCAAGGCCCUGGGUUCAAGCCCAGCACUGACUGCCAGAGAGAGAAGCUCUUCGCAGCUCCGCCGUACACGCUGCGGGGCGACCCCAGGAG
Heterocephalus glaber (naked mole-rat) is the source of this 344-nucleotide long non-coding RNA. The record is from Ensembl. NCBI's taxonomy places the organism in Eukaryota, Metazoa, Chordata, Mammalia, Rodentia, Bathyergidae.